GCCCGCCCCGGCGGGCGGUGCUGCGGCCGCCCCCGCUCCCAGCAGCCUUUGCAGCCGCCUACAAUGAAAUUUGCGAAGUUUUUUCGGUUUCGGCGCCAUUUUCGAGUGGACUCGGAGCAGUGUUGAGAAAAAGCUGUGGAUCCUGGAAUUUUACAGUGGAUUUUACUGGUUUUCUGGAGUGCUCUCCUACUGAAGCAGUGAUCUGAUUGUGUCCAGAGGGUCCGUGCAGGGGCUGAUGUGCCCGUGUUCAGAGGUGAGUUGGGAAGGUAAGCUUGUGUCCCACCUCCUCCAAAAUAUCUGCAGCAUCUGCAUCCCUCUUGGUAAAUGCAGCUCCCUCUGACCCUUCUUGGGUACUGAGAGUAAUACCUUGGAGAUUUUCAGGUGAACUCAAAUUACCCUGUUCAGCUGCCAAUUUCUGAUUUGAAGUUGGGUUUCCAAAGCACAAACUAAGUGUGAAAGAAGCUGAAGUGAGAGAUGGGAUAAUUCAAACAUGGAACUAUCUAUUGCAUAAAAUAUUGAUGCUGUCAUGUCAUAAAUGUGCAUAUUUUCUCAGAUAGAUAUUUCACUGCCUAUCCCAAAUUUCCAGUUACCCAAUACUUGGUGUGACUGUUGAUUUUCCCUCUCUGCUGGAGGCUGGUGGAAGUGUAUUGGACCCUUGCUUUGAAAAGUCCUCCUUACUGAAGAGAGCUUUUGCCCUUGUUGUUGAACUAGGCAAAAGUCUGGUUUAUAUAAAUAUAAAAACAUUAAUUAAAAUGUGAACCUCGAGCACCAUCAAAAUGGAUUCUAAAGCUGAACGUGUUUGCUGUUGCUUUUUUCUUUCAGAUUCAUUUGAAGAGAUGAAAGAAAUGAGAUUGCACAGGUACAGUCAAGUAAAACAUUGUUACAGAAGUAAUUAAUGGUAAUAUUAUGUGGGGGGUUGUUUUGAUUUAGCUCCUACAGGUGUAACACUGGGUAUGUGUUUCCUUCGCAGCAAGUAGCAGCUGCUUGUUAGGGAGUUGUCUGGUGCUGUCAGUGUUGAGGACACUGAAGUGGUGAAAAUACACUGCUUUUUUGUUGGCAAAUAUUUGAUUUCAAUUUUAAAAUCACUUGGCAUGGGUCACAAGAGCUUUUGAAAUCCCUAUUUUUAAGUUUGCUAAAGAAGCAGGGACUCAGUGGUGCGUUGGGUGCGAGGGGAUGGCACAAGAAUUGAAACCCAAGGCGUCAUUUCUAACAUUGUUCAGGUUUUUUUGUGAUGCUGCUUUUUAAGAAAAUGAAUUGAAGGAAGUUGUCACAUAACGGGAGCGGGGGGGAGGUUGAAAGGAAAUACAAAAAAUAUCAGUGUGUUUGCAUGGCUCCUGUGCAGCCCAGGCAGGCUGGUGUGUAAGAGCCACUGGCAGCUGCCUUCUGCAGGGCUGCAGCCCCUCCCUGCCCUGCUCUGGUACAGGCAGGAAAUGUGAUGAAGUUCCAGAGAUCUUUAGUUUCUGGUCAUACAAAGUUUGUCCACUCACAUGGUAAAUAAGCAUCAUUUAAUCUUUUUAAAAAUGAGGAUUUUUUUACAUAUCUCAAAAGUCAAGUUGAGCUGAAUAAAGAAAUUUUAAGGAAAAUUUAACAGGUUUCAACUGUUGGAAUCUGGAUUUAUUUAUCAGAAAUACUAACAUUGUGACUUCUGGAAAAUCCUUGAUGUUCAGCAUCACCUGGGAGGAAAGUACAAGGUAAUAUUUCCCCACAGACCAGUUGGAAGAGCUGGGAAGUUCUGCAAGCUCUUCACAGUAGCAAAAGCAACUACUAAGUGUGAUUUGGGGCUGGGGGGAACAGUUAAUUUCUGACCUUGCUUCUGAAACUGGUUUCUUUGCACUAUAUAACUGCUUGUUCUCUUAUAGUUACCGACUGUCUGAUAGCACCUGUGAAGAAAAGAAACCCUGUCCUGUGGUGGUAAUGCAUGCAUGUUAAAUGUCUUCAUUGUAGAGUGUUCUUCAGUUCUUUAUAUCAUGGUUUAAAAAAAAAUUACAUAUAUAUAUAUUCAAAAUACCAUUUGGAAUGUCAACAUUCAGUGGGCUUUGAGGAGAUGUAGCAGCACAUCAUGGUUUGUAGGGACAAGGAGAUACAGACCAUUCUGGGCUGCCUCAUUACCUCAAGGAUAAGACAAGAAAGUGAGCUUCUGGUUAUCAUAGAUGUGGAAGCUAACACAUUCCCAUGUAUCUCGUUAGUUCAGGUAUGUGUAGACACGUUCUCUUGGUGCUUGUACUGUGCACAUCCUUUGCAGCUACAGAUACAUCCCUGUGAGCUCGUGUGUCUGGCCCUGCAGGCAGGAAGGACUUGUAGCUCCUUUUUGUUCUCCAACAUGGGCAUGACCACAUCCUAUACUAAUCUACUCCUCAGCUAUUGCUCUUGGGUCCUUUCCCUGGCAAAGGAUUGGCCAAGGGCCCCUUGCCCUGUGUUUGGGGCAGAGAGGGGGGUCUGGAGGCCGUGGAGAGCUGUCAGCAGUGCUCUAGCAGCACGUAAAUACUGGAGUUUGGGAUUGCCUGUUGCUCUCCAGUAUUGCAUUGCUGCUUUAGUGAGGCUGGAAAUCGGUCCCUGCCGCACGAGCCGGGGCUCUGGCUCUUGGGGUCCCUCUGUGGCACCCCCACGAUUCUUCCCACACUGCCAGGGGCUCCGGGCUCCCACCCCAAUAAACCACUGCGGAGGCAGCAACCAACGAGGGCUUGGUGUCGUGAAUGGGGAAGGGGCAGGACCCAGCACUGCCCCAGGGUACCAGGGGUGGAGGGAGCAGGGAGCACUUCCUGCUGUCCAGGAGAUGGUGAUGAGCUCUUCUCUGGUCUCUGGGGGGAGGGAGGAGCUGGGGCU
Long non-coding RNA from Poecile atricapillus (Black-capped chickadee), 2823 nucleotides. RefSeq lists it as uncharacterized. The transcript has 3 exons. The record is from RefSeq and is a predicted model, not a curated record. NCBI's taxonomy places the organism in Eukaryota, Metazoa, Chordata, Aves, Passeriformes, Paridae.